AGACACGGUCCAGACACCUACGGGUGGCAGCAGUCGAGAAUCAUUCACAAUGGGGGAAACCCUGAUGGUGCGACGCCGCGUGGGGGAAUGAAGGUCUUCGGAUUGUAAACCCCUGUCAUGUGGGAGCAAAUUAAAAAGAUAGUACCACAAGAGGAAGAGACGGCUAACUCUGUGCCAGCAGCCGCGGUAAUACAGAGGUCUCAAGCGUUGUUCGGAAUCACUGGGCGUAAAGCGUGCGUAGGCUGUUUCGUAAGUCGUGUGUGAAAGGCGCGGGCUCAACCCGCGGACGGCACAUGAUACUGCGAGACUAGAGUAAUGGAGGGGGAACCGGAAUUCUCGGUGUAGCAGUGAAAUGCGUAGAUAUCGAGAGGAACACUCGUGGCGAAGGCGGGUUCCUGGACAUUAACUGACGCUGAGGCACGAAGGCCAGGGGAGCGAAAGGGAUUAGAUACCCCUGUAGUCCUGGCAGUAAACGGUGCACGCUUGGUGUGCGGGGAAUCGACCCCCUGCGUGCCGGAGCUAACGCGUUAAGCGUGCCGCCUGGGGAGUACGGUCGCAAGAUUAAAACUCAAAGAAAUUGACGGGGACCCGCACAAGCGGUGGAGUAUGUGGCUUAAUUCGAUGCAACGCGAAGAACCUUACCUGGGCUUGACAUGUAAUGAACAACAUGUGAAAGCAUGCGACUCUUCGGAGGCGUUACACAGGUGCUGCAUGGCCGUCGUCAGCUCGUGUCGUGAGAUGUUUGGUUAAGUCCAGCAACGAGCGCAACCCCUGUUGCCAGUUACCAGCACGUGAAGGUGGGGACUCUGGCGAGACUGCCCAGAUCAACUGGGAGGAAGGUGGGGACGACGUCAGGUCAGUAUGGCCCUUAUGCCCAGGGCUGCACACGUACUACAAUGCCCAGUACAGAGGGGGCCGAAGCCGCGAGGCGGAGGAAAUCCUAAAAACUGGGCCCAGUUCGGACUGUAGGCUGCAACCCGCCUACACGAAGCCGGAAUCGCUAGUAAUGGCGCAUCAGCUACGGCGCCGUGAAUACGUUCCCGGGUCUUGUACACACCGCCCGUCACAUCAUGGAAGCCGGUCGCACCCGAAGUAUCUGAAGCCAACCGCAAGGAGGCAGGGUCCUAAGGUGAGACUGGUAACUGGGAUGAAGUCGUAACAAGGUAGCCGUAGGGGAACCUGCGGCUG
This 1188-nucleotide ribosomal RNA is filed under the name human gut metagenome. Its description in RNAcentral is "bacterial SSU rRNA". It matches the Rfam family "Bacterial small subunit ribosomal RNA", at positions 322 to 1520 of the family's 1533-position model. The record is from RNAcentral.